CUGCCAGCACCACACUGCCAGCACCACACUGCCAGCACCACACUCCACGCGUCAGGAAAAGUUCAGUAAUAUUCAUAGGUGUGUGUGUGUGUGGAGUGUUGUCAGCGCUUAUACCAGAUAAUUAGAAAAGUAUUUACUGUGAGAAAAUAUUGAGGCACACACAUACUGAAUAUAUAGAAACAUGUCAAAUAGAUAUAGAAGGAGAUUGACAUAGACAUAUAAACACAACCAAAAGAAAUAACGACGAAAGACACAUUUAAGUACCAUAGAUCAACAAUUUGUGAAUAACAGGUGAAGCGAAAAUAUGGAACAUAACGGUAUUUAGAGAUAGCUUGAAGCACAGGUCAAGGAUGAUAGCAGCGACGUGGGCGUGGUGUCUGCUGCUAGUUGGCGUGGUGGGCGUGGCGGUGGGCGUGUCGGUGGGCGUGUCUGUGGAGGAGCUGGCCCGCGCCCACUCCCUGGACGCCAUCAUUACAGAGCACCUGAGGGGUUAUCUUCGUCAGCACCAGCAGGAGAGACACCUGCAGGAGGCGUUGGUACAGCCGUACCUUCUACCUCACCUCGCUCGCGUUGCCAGGUACGUGAAGGAGUACGACACCGUGGUGGGGCCCCUGGUGAGGCGGACCCGGGGAGCUGAAGGAGGGCUGGAGGCAGGGGCGGACCCCGUGCUUAGCCUGGUGGUGGUCAGACGCCUGGUGAGGGACUGGUCCUGGCUUAGGGAAGCUCCGCCUCUCUCACAACACU
This is a non-coding RNA of Procambarus clarkii (red swamp crayfish), 744 nucleotides long. Lineage: Eukaryota; Metazoa; Arthropoda; Malacostraca; Decapoda; Cambaridae. The record is from RefSeq and is a predicted model, not a curated record.